AUUGAACGCUGGCGGCAGGCCUAACACAUGCAAGUCGAACGAGUGGCGGACGGGUGAGUAAUGUCGGGGAAACUGACUGAUGGAGGGGGAUAAAUACUGGAAACGGUAGCUAAUACCGCAUACCAUCGGAUGUACCCAGAUGGGAUUAGCUAGUAGGUGGGGGAACGGCGCACCUAGGCGACGAACCCUAGCUGGUCUGAGAGGAUGACCAGCCACACUGGAAAUGAUACACGGUCCAGACUCCUACGUGAGGCAGCAGUGGGGAAUAUUGCACAUUGGGCGCAAGCCUGAUGCAGCCAUGCCGCGUGUAUGAAGAAGGCCUUCGGGUUGUAAAGUACUUUCAGCGUGGAGGCGUUACCCGCAGAAGAAGCACCGGCUAACUCCGUGCCAGCAGCCGCGGUAAUUC
RNAcentral lists this ribosomal RNA (406 nucleotides) under uncultured bacterium. RNAcentral's name for it is "partial 16S ribosomal RNA". It matches the Rfam family "Bacterial small subunit ribosomal RNA", at positions 30 to 526 of the family's 1533-position model. The record is from RNAcentral.